RNAcentral lists this unclassified non-coding RNA (334 nucleotides) under soil metagenome. RNAcentral describes it as "partial contains 5.8S ribosomal RNA, internal transcribed spacer 2, and large subunit ribosomal RNA". The stretch from base 1 to 120 matches the Rfam family "5.8S ribosomal RNA", at positions 35 to 154 of the family's 154-position model. The record is from RNAcentral.
GAUGAAGAACGUAGCGAAAUGCGAUAAGUAAUGUGAAUUGCAGAACUCAGUGAAUCAUCGAAUCUUUGAACGCACAUUGCGCCCGCCAGUAUUCUGGCGGGCAUGCCUGUUCGAGCGUCAUUUCAACCAUCAAGCCCUGCUUGCGUUGGGGUCCUGCGGCUGCCCGCAGGCCCUGAAAACCAGUGGCGGGCUCGCUAGUCACACCGAGCGCAGUAAUACAUCUCGCUUUGGGCGUGCGGCGGGUUCUUGCCGUUAAACACCCCCUUUUUACCAAGGUUGACCUCGGAUCAGGUAGGAAUACCCGCUGAACUUAAGCAUAUCAAUAAGCGGAGGA